ACUCCUACGGGAGGCAGCAGUGGGAAUUUUGGACAAUGGGCGCAAGCCUGAUCCAGCCAUGCCGCGUGAGUGAAGAAGGCCUUCGGGUUGUAAAGCUCUUUCAGCCGGGAAGAAAAGGCCGCGACUAAUAAUCGCGGUUCAUGACGGUACCGGAAGAAGAAGCACCGGCUAACUACGUGCCAGCAGCCGCGGUAAUACGUAGGGUGCGAGCGUUAAUCGGAAUUACUGGGCGUAAAGGGUGCGCAGGCGGUCUUGUAAGUCAGAUGUG
This 268-nucleotide ribosomal RNA is filed under the name uncultured bacterium. RNAcentral describes it as "partial 16S ribosomal RNA". It matches the Rfam family "Bacterial small subunit ribosomal RNA", at positions 335 to 596 of the family's 1533-position model. The record is from RNAcentral.